CUCUCCGAGCUGGUACGCGACUAAUCAGUUCAUGCUUGAAGUGAUUCCACGAGAAGAUGAAGAGAUACAAAUGCUUGACGAGAAACUCGUCGUUGGCUUCGGCUAUUUUCGUACCUUAUUACGCUGGUCUCGAUUUCCGGCGAAAUAUACGGCGGCGUAACGUCGCUGAGAGAGACGCCGCCGGGAAUGAACUGUUUAAAUGGCUCAAAAAGCAACCCCAGUGGAAAGAACAAAAAAACGCGGAGCAUAUACUGAUCGACCUGGUCCAUUUCACUCGAUCGGCAAAGAUCGAUUUCAUACAGAUCGAUCGAUCUCGAAUUAUAGACCGAUCGAUCUCGUGCCCAGGUAAGUAUUCCAAAUCGAUUUCUUGGUUUUCUUCGGAUAUAUCCGGUUUGAUUCCCACUUAAUUUGAACCGACCAAACAUGGUUUCAACUCUUUAAACUCGAUUUCUUUGAGAUGAAACCCAUAAUUUCUCGUCUCCUUUACGAACAAAAGGGGAGAAAAUCAAAGUCUCAAGUUCAUAAACCCUAACUCACUCAAUUUCACACUGAUUUGGUAGAAACAAUGUGAAAUUUUUGUGAAAAUUUUGUGAACAAUCAAUAGAAUAUAAAAGACAGCGUCAGAAGAAGGUUACCACGUUUUUGUUUUUGUUUUUUUUAAAUCGAUUUUUUCAAAAUAUAAAAGUGAAUAUUCCAAAUAUUUUGUUUCCAUAUUUUUAGGAACUGAUUUCUUAUCCGUAGAAUACAUCUUAUCUGUAGAAAUCGGUUUCUACAGGUUUUUAGAAUUAUAAUAAUGUGUAGAUUUUGAUUUAAACAUGUUUUAGAUUUAAAGUAAAUCUAUAGAAGUCAGUUUCUACGUAUUUUAGAUUUAUAUUAAUGUGUAGAUUUUGAUUUCUAAAGAUUUUAGAUCGGUAGGUUAAGCACGGAAUGUGUAUUCUAAAUAUUUUUAGAAUACUCUUAUUUACGUAGAUCACAUAUUCUAAACACUGUAGAUUCAAUGAAAAAAAUGGAUUUCGCUUUCUACUUCGUAGAAUGCCAUUUCUACUUUAUUUAGAACAUAAUCUGAAAAUUAUGAUUUAAACAUUUUUAGAACUGAAAAAAAUACCACUAAGUUCAUAUAAGUAUUUUAUCAAUAGUUGCUAUUUUUCCAAUUUUUUUUGUUUGUAAAACUAUUUAUUAAAUUUAUUUUCAAAAAUAUUAAACGGUAUUAUAGGCAAAAAUGACACAAAAUAGAUAUUAGUCUAAAAGGACAUAAUUAUCAUUUUUUUGCUCUAAAAAAAAUAUUUCUUUUGACAUAGCUACAUCAUUAACUAUUUUAUUGAAAAUCCAGCUGUGUUAGGUCAAGAUCGUUUCCUUGUAACCGGUAGAAUUUCACGAGAUUUCCGGCGAACAAUUUGAAUGUAAGAAGACAGCAUUUAAAACGAGAGAAUGACUUUUUGAAUGACUUGUCAUGCCUUUCGGUUUGUCCAAUGCACCAAGUACCUUCAUGCGCGUUAUGAAUCAAUCUCUUCGUCCUUUCAUCGGCAAGUUCGUGGUUGUCUAUUUUGAUGAUAUUCUGAUAUUUAGCAUGUCACCAACGGAGCAUCUCGCUCACCUGCACGAAGUGCUUCUUGUUCUCCGUCGUGAUCAGCUAUUUGCUACGCUCAAAAUGUGUGAGUUCGGCUCUUCUAGCGUCCACUUCCUUGGGUAUAUCGUCUCUGCAGAAGGACUAGCCGUUGAUCCGGGAAAAGUAGAGGCAAUCAAGUCAUGGCCUACUCCGAGUACAUUGUCCGCAACUAGAAGUUUUCAUGGUCUAGCGUCUUUUUAUCAAAGAUUUGUGCCGCAGUUUACCAGUUUAAUGGCGCCUCUUACGGAUUGUAUUUGUCGGGAUGGUGUGUUUACAUGGACGUCUGAAGCGGCUACAGCUUUUGAGGUCAUUAAAACAAAGUUGAUUUCGGCGCCUGAUGUCUCGAGUUUUAACCCGAUUAUCUAACUGCAAGUGCACAGUAAAGUACGC
Long non-coding RNA from Brassica napus (rape), 1996 nucleotides. RefSeq lists it as uncharacterized. The record is from RefSeq and is a predicted model, not a curated record. NCBI's taxonomy places the organism in Eukaryota, Viridiplantae, Streptophyta, Magnoliopsida, Brassicales, Brassicaceae. The transcript has 2 exons.